RNAcentral lists this transfer RNA (72 nucleotides) under Perca fluviatilis (European perch). RNAcentral's name for it is "tRNA-Glu". Lineage: Eukaryota; Metazoa; Chordata; Actinopteri; Perciformes; Percidae. The record is from RNAcentral.
UCCCUGAUGGUCUAGUGGCUAGGAUUCGGUGCUCUCACAGCAGCGGUCAGAGUUUGAUUCCCGGUCAGGGAA